Molecule: ribosomal RNA, 546 nt
Filed under: uncultured bacterium
Lineage: Bacteria
Description: bacterial SSU rRNA
Rfam family: Bacterial small subunit ribosomal RNA
Source: RNAcentral
AAAUAGAUACCCGGGUAGGUACACACCGUAAACGAUGAGUGCUAAGUGUUGGGGGGUUUCCGCCCCUCAGUGCUGCAGCUAACGCAUUAAGCACUCCGCCUGGGGAGUACGGUCGCAAGACUGAAACUCAAAGGAAUUGACGGGGGCCCGCACAAGCGGUGGAGCAUGUGGUUUAAUUCGAAGCAACGCGAAGAACCUUACCAGGUCUUGACAUCCCGGUGACCACUAUGGAGACAUAGUUUCCCCUUCGGGGGCAACGGUGACAGGUGGUGCAUGGUUGUCGUCAGCUCGUGUCGUGAGAUGUUGAGUUAAGUCCCGCAACGAGCGCAACCCUUAUUCUUAGUUGCCAUCAUUCAGUUGGGCACUCUAAGGAGACUGCCGGUGAUAAACCGGAGGAAGGUGGGGAUGACGUCAAAUCAUCAUGCCCCUUAUGACCUGGGCUACACACGUGCUACAAUGGACGGUACAAACGGUUGCCAACCCGCGAGGGGGAGCUAAUCCGAUAAAACCGUUCUCAGUUCGGAUUGUAGGCUGCAACUCGCCUAC